Molecule: unclassified non-coding RNA, 380 nt
Filed under: uncultured Thermoleophilia bacterium
Lineage: Bacteria; Bacillati; Actinomycetota; Thermoleophilia
Description: contains 16S-23S intergenic spacer region
Source: RNAcentral
UCCGGUUUGUCACCGGCAGUCUCGCAUGAGUCCCCAGCCUAACUGCUGGCAACAUGCGACGGGGGUUGCGCUCGUUGCGGGACUUAACCCAACAUCUCACGACACGAGCUGACGACAGCCAUGCACCACCUGUGACGGUCCAGCCAAACUGACCCCGUGUUUCCACGGGUAUGACCGACAUGUCAAACCCAGGUAAGGUUCUUCGCGUUGCGUCGAAUUAAACCACAUGCUCCGCUGCUUGUGCGGGUCCCCGUCAAUUCCUUUGAGUUUUAGCCUUGCGGCCGUACUCCCCAGGCGGGGUGCUUAAUGCGUUAGCUUCGGCACAGAGCGGGUCAAACGCCGCCCCACACCUAGCACCCAACGUUUACAGCUAGGACUAC